GUUAAGCGACUAAGCGUACACGGUGGAUGCCCUGGCAGUCAGAGGCGAUGAAGGACGUGCUAAUCUGCGAUAAGCGUCGGUAAGGUGAUAUGAACCGUUAUAACCGGCGAUUUCCGAAUGGGGAAACCCAGUGUGUUUCGACACACUAUCAUUAACUGAAUCCAUAGGUUAAUGAGGCGAACCGGGGGAACUGAAACAUCUAAGUACCCCGAGGAAAAGAAAUCAACCGAGAUUCCCCCAGUAGCGGCGAGCGAACGGGGAGCAGCCCAGAGCCUGAAUCAGUGUGUGUGUUAGUGGAAGCGUCUGGAAAGGCGCGCGAUACAGGGUGACAGCCCCGUACACAAAAAUGCACAUGCUGUGAGCUCGAUGAGUAGGGCGGGACACGUGGUAUCCUGUCUGAAUAUGGGGGGACCAUCCUCCAAGGCUAAAUACUCCUGACUGACCGAUAGUGAACCAGUACCGUGAGGGAAAGGCGAAAAGAACCCCGGCGAGGGGAGUGAAAAAGAACCUGAAACCGUGUACGUACAAGCAGUGGGAGCCUCUUUUAUGGGGUGACUGCGUACCUUUUGUAUAAUGGGUCAGCGACUUAUAUUCUGUAGCAAGGUUAACCGAAUAGGGGAGCCGAAGGGAAACCGAGUCUUAACUGGGCGUUAAGUUGCAGGGUAUAGACCCGAAACCCGGUGAUCUAGCCAUGGGCAGGUUGAAGGUUGGGUAACACUAACUGGAGGACCGAACCGACUAAUGUUGAAAAAUUAGCGGAUGACUUGUGGCUGGGGGUGAAAGGCCAAUCAAACCGGGAGAUAGCUGGUUCUCCCCGAAAGCUAUUUAGGUAGCGCCUCGUGAAUUCAUCUCCGGGGGUAGAGCACUGUUUCGGCAAGGGGGUCAUCCCGACUUACCAACCCGAUGCAAACUGCGAAUACCGGAGAAUGUUAUCACGGGAGACACACGGCGGGUGCUAACGUCCGUCGUGAAGAGGGAAACAACCCAGACCGCCAGCUAAGGUCCCAAAGUCAUGGUUAAGUGGGAAACGAUGUGGGAAGGCCCAGACAGCCAGGAUGUUGGCUUAGAAGCAGCCAUCAUUUAAAGAAAGCGUAAUAGCUCACUGGUCGAGUCGGCCUGCGCGGAAGAUGUAACGGGGCUAAACCAUGCACCGAAGCUGCGGCAGCGACGCUUAUGCGUUGUUGGGUAGGGGAGCGUUCUGUAAGCCUGUGAAGGUGUGCUGUGAGGCAUGCUGGAGGUAUCAGAAGUGCGAAUGCUGACAUAAGUAACGAUAAAGCGGGUGAAAAGCCCGCUCGCCGGAAGACCAAGGGUUCCUGUCCAACGUUAAUCGGGGCAGGGUGAGUCGACCCCUAAGGCGAGGCCGAAAGGCGUAGUCGAUGGGAAACAGGUUAAUAUUCCUGUACUUGGUGUUACUGCGAAGGGGGGACGGAGAAGGCUAUGUUGGCCGGGCGACGGUUGUCCCGGUUUAAGCGUGUAGGCUGGUUUUCCAGGCAAAUCCGGAAAAUCAAGGCUGAGGCGUGAUGACGAGGCACUACGGUGCUGAAGCAACAAAUGCCCUGCUUCCAGGAAAAGCCUCUAAGCAUCAGGUAACAUCAAAUCGUACCCCAAACCGACACAGGUGGUCAGGUAGAGAAUACCAAGGCGCUUGAGAGAACUCGGGUGAAGGAACUAGGCAAAAUGGUGCCGUAACUUCGGGAGAAGGCACGCUGAUAUGUAGGUGAAGCGACUUGCUCGUGGAGCUGAAAUCAGUCGAAGAUACCAGCUGGCUGCAACUGUUUAUUAAAAACACAGCACUGUGCAAACACGAAAGUGGACGUAUACGGUGUGACGCCUGCCCGGUGCCGGAAGGUUAAUUGAUGGGGUCAGCGCAAGCGAAGCUCUUGAUCGAAGCCCCGGUAAACGGCGGCCGUAACUAUAACGGUCCUAAGGUAGCGAAAUUCCUUGUCGGGUAAGUUCCGACCUGCACGAAUGGCGUAAUGAUGGCCAGGCUGUCUCCACCCGAGACUCAGUGAAAUUGAACUCGCUGUGAAGAUGCAGUGUACCCGCGGCAAGACGGAAAGACCCCGUGAACCUUUACUAUAGCUUGACACUGAACAUUGAGCCUUGAUGUGUAGGAUAGGUGGGAGGCUUUGAAGUGUGGACGCCAGUCUGCAUGGAGCCGACCUUGAAAUACCACCCUUUAAUGUUUGAUGUUCUAACGUUGACCCGUAAUCCGGGUUGCGGACAGUGUCUGGUGGGUAGUUUGACUGGGGCGGUCUCCUCCUAAAGAGUAACGGAGGAGCACGAAGGUUGGCUAAUCCUGGUCGGACAUCAGGAGGUUAGUGCAAUGGCAUAAGCCAGCUUGACUGCGAGCGUGACGGCGCGAGCAGGUGCGAAAGCAGGUCAUAGUGAUCCGGUGGUUCUGAAUGGAAGGGCCAUCGCUCAACGGAUAAAAGGUACUCCGGGGAUAACAGGCUGAUACCGCCCAAGAGUUCAUAUCGACGGCGGUGUUUGGCACCUCGAUGUCGGCUCAUCACAUCCUGGGGCUGAAGUAGGUCCCAAGGGUAUGGCUGUUCGCCAUUUAAAGUGGUACGCGAGCUGGGUUUAGAACGUCGUGAGACAGUUCGGUCCCUAUCUGCCGUGGGCGCUGGAGAACUGAGGGGGGCUGCUCCUAGUACGAGAGGACCGGAGUGGACGCAUCACUGGUGUUCGGGUUGUCAUGCCAAUGGCACUGCCCGGUAGCUAAAUGCGGAAGAGAUAAGUGCUGAAAGCAUCUAAGCACGAAACUUGCCCCGAGAUGAGUUCUCCCUGACUCCUUGAGAGUCCUGAAGGAACGUUGAAGACGACGACGUUGAUAGGCCGGGUGUGUAAGCGCAGCGAUGCGUUGAGCUAACCGGUACUAAUGAACCGUGAGG
RNAcentral lists this ribosomal RNA (2894 nucleotides) under Escherichia coli. Its description in RNAcentral is "partial 23S ribosomal RNA". It matches the Rfam family "Bacterial large subunit ribosomal RNA". Lineage: Bacteria; Pseudomonadati; Pseudomonadota; Gammaproteobacteria; Enterobacterales; Enterobacteriaceae. The record is from RNAcentral.